This 1489-nucleotide unclassified non-coding RNA is filed under the name Hevea brasiliensis (rubber tree). The record is from RNAcentral. Lineage: Eukaryota; Viridiplantae; Streptophyta; Magnoliopsida; Malpighiales; Euphorbiaceae.
GAGAGAGAAGUAAUUCUUGUAUUGAAUUCUUGGCUGACCCAAUUGCUUACAAUGCUACUCUAUUUAUAUAAUAUUUUCCUCUCAUACCUAUUCCCAUUGUUAUCAUGACAGAUUCAUUACUCCAUCAAUUGGUCCAAACUGCCAUCUCGAAUGCCACAGAUAAGAAUGGAGAAUUGUAUGGAAUCGAUGGAGAGGAAUCUUGCCUUGGUGGAUUUGAAUCCAGCAGGUCGGGCCAAUUGGGAAUAAAGAAUCUAAAAGCAUAACAGGGAAGAAAAUAAAUAGAGAAAAUCAUGAAUUCUAGCUUCUUGGCAUAUUUUGGAGGAGAAUGAAUAUAUAUGCAUGAAGAAACAGAUCACAUCAUUUAAAGACAAUGUGGGGAGAAACUCCCUAUGGAACCCUGAAAUCACAGGAGUAUUUUGAGAACAUCCAUCGGUUUGACAUUUUGGUUCAUAUAAUAUCAACCUCAAAUACUAUCUCUGGCUACUUUAUCAUGGUACCUUCUGCCACUUUAAGAGUCAACAAUUUCAUGAAGUGCUUGUAUAAUCUUGGAAAGCACAGGAAAGGUAACAAAACCAAGAAAUUUUUCUUCACGGCAAUCUCUUUCUGAGAAUAGAUUGUUAUUGUUACUGCAAUUACAAAUGGCAUAAUGAGAUAAAUGCUAUUACUUCGGUGUUGAACUUUUUAUUUACACAAUUUAUCACUUCCUCUUCGUUUCUCAUUUUGUUGGACAGAAGUUCUUUUUCCUCCCUUGGUGAAUAAGUAUAUGAUAAAGUGUAGAAGCUUACAUCUUUGUGUGCUUAUGAAUGUACUUAUUCAACUGAUUUGUUUCUUCGGGGUGCCAGGGAGGUGGUACUUAGACAUUCAUUAACUUGGUUUUUGCCGAAUAUACUAAAACGCACGAAGUGGAGACUAGUUUGAUCACUGCUUUCAAUAGCAAUCUCCCUAUGUACUAUUGGAGGUUAGCAUGGUCCUGAAGGGCGCAGACUCCAUUUUGUUUGGUAACAAUGAAGUUUAUUUUAUUUUUAUGAAGUUUUUAUUUACCUUCUGAUUUAUUUGUGUUUUUCAGGUGAACAUAUGGUUUUGUUUUUCUAAAACUUUUCCCUCGCCCAGGGCUCACUGACACAAAAGAUUCUGUUGCGUUCUUGAGAGCAAUGGAAAUUAUUAAACAGCAAGGGAUACUCGCGAGCUUCCUUCCAAUAUUAAAAUAAAAUUCGCUUUUCCUCCCACUCAAACCACCGCCACCCCCACCCCUCUCUCUGCCCCUCCCUCCAUCUCUUCCCUUUAAUAUGUUUGAAAUUUUUUAAAAUCAAAAUUUAUGCUAUGGUAGCAAUGAGGGAGUUACAGCAUAUCACAUUUGGUUACCAUUGACCUAAAUUUGAAAGGCUGUGUAUAUAAUAAUGAUUGGUUAUAAUUGCAAAUUUCAGCAAAGUUAUAGGUUUUUUUUUUUUUUUUUUCAGAUUGGUGCAGGGCGUAAAUAUCUAAGAUUUAU